CGGCGGAGUAGCAGCAGCCGGACCAGACUCCCUAGUAGCUCAGGCGCUGCACUGCGCCGGCCCUGGCAGGGAGCCUGGUGAGAUGGUGGAGGAGGAGGCUGUGCCGUGGCUGGCCUUGCUAUGUCCUGCUGCCUGUCAGCUUUCAAAAGUCAGACUACAACUGAAUCAAAGAAUUACACAAGAAAAGGGAAACUGAGUCAUCCUUCAGCAACUCCAGGAACAAAUCAAGGUGCAGUGUCUCACGCCUGUAAUCCUAGCACUUCGGGAAACUGAGGCGGGCAGAUUGCCAGAGCUCAGGAGUUCGAUACCGGCCUGGGCAACAAGGCAAAACCCCUCUCUACUAAAAAUACAAAAAAUUAGCUGGGUAUGCUGGUGCGCACCUGUAAUCCCAGCUACUUGGGAGCCUGAGGAGUGAGAAUCACUUGAACCCAGAAGGCGAAGAAUGCAGUGAGCCAAGAUUGUGCCACUGCACUCCAGCCUGGAUGACAGAGCAAGACUCUGUCUCAGAAAAAAAUAAUUUAAAAAGAUGAUUCUUGUUCCCUCCCCAUCCUUACCUUUUUUUAAUGAGGAAAGAGAAUAUUUCCCUGUAUCACUGACUUUGGGCUUGGCUAUGUGACUGCUCUACCCAAUAGAAUUUGGGUAGGUUAAUAGUAAUAGAAGUAACUAAGCAGAACUUUAAAGAAGCUUCUCCUCUUCAACUCUUGCUUAUAAAGCAUUAUAAAAAUCAAUAUAUAUAAAGCAUUAUAAAAAUCAAAUGCCCUAAGUAGUCUGUGUCCUUCAACAUGGGUCCAGGAAUGAGAGACACCUGGAGCACACCUGACUCUCAUCUGUAGUCUAAGGUAGAACUGCUGCAACCAAUUCGCAAAAUUCAUGAGCAAGGAGUAAAUGCUUGCUGUUAUUGGUCAGUAACUUCUUGUCAUGUUUCUUAAGCAUUAUUGGAGCAAAAGCAAACUAAUACAAACGUUAAUGUAAUUCCUUUGCUUGUCAUUGAUUUAGAGAUGAAUAUUUGUCCUGUUUCCAGGUAAUACAAUGUAUUUAGGAAGAAUGCCAAAGGAGGGAGCUUAUUAGUAGGAUUUUGACCUCUAAUGAAAAUGAUGGCCAAAUAUAUGAAAUUUUUUCUUUCUUUGGUUUUUAUUGUUUAAAGACAUAAUUAUUUAAGUUGUGUUAGUUGUGUGUGAUCUUAUAACUGUGAGGAAUUACAUAGAAUGAAAAUGGAAUGUGCUGUGGUGGCAGAACAGAAAGAAGUUGGGUGAUUGACAUUGUUGAGCUGCUGCAGGAAAUCUGUUAGUCUCCAUUUCCAGAGGUCUUGCUAUGUAGAAAAAUUGGAUGACUUUAUUGCUUAAGUCACUAUAAGAAUGUUUUCUGUUACCUGCAACCCAAUGCACCCAACUAAUAAAGUACGUUUCUAGAAAUA
RNAcentral lists this long non-coding RNA (1414 nucleotides) under Homo sapiens (human). Its description in RNAcentral is "HSALNT0393184". Lineage: Eukaryota; Metazoa; Chordata; Mammalia; Primates; Hominidae. The record is from RNAcentral.